UCCUCCCGCUGCGGCGGGCGGACGUCCGGCGGCGGCCAUGGCGCUGGCGGAGGCGGGGGCCGGCGCUGGCGGGCGGCUCCUUCGCUGGCCCCGCGUCGUCCUCUUCGGAGACUCCAUCACCGAGUUCUCCUUCCAGGAAAAUGGCUGGGGGGCAUCCCUUGCUGAGAGACUGGUCAGAAAAUGUGAUGUUGUGAACCGUGGGCUCUCAGGGUACAACACCAGGUGGGCUAAAUUGAUCCUUCCAAGAUUGAUCAGUAAAAGUACUGGUGCCGAGAGUACUGUGGCAGUUACGAUUUUCUUUGGAGCCAAUGACAGUGCUUUGAAAGAUCUGAACCCUAAGCAACACGUUCCUUUGGAGGAAUAUGCUGCAAACUUAAAGAGCAUGAUACAGUAUCUGAAGUCAAUAGACAUUACUGAAGACAGGGUUAUUUUGAUAACGCCACCACCUCUUCAGGAAUCGGCCUGGGAGAAGGAGUGUCUUGCCAAAGGCGACAAAUUGAAUCGCCGCAACGCCACCACUGGGGAGUACGCCCAGGCCUGUGUUCAGGUAGCCAGGGACUGUGGAACGGAUGUACUUGACCUCUGGACACUGAUGCAGAAAAAUCAGUUUUAUCAACAGAUUGUUAUGGGAAAACACACAGAAUUCAGAUGCUGCUUUAUCAUCACACCAGUUGCUCUGUGACUCCACAGUGUCAGUCCAUCUGCCGCUACGCGAGAACACCGCUCGCGUUCCAGUCCCAGCUCACCUUCCAGAUGUCCAGCUCUAUCCAGUUAGAGGCCACCAUUAAAUUACCAACCUUUAACAUCACAUCGUAGUACCUGUGUGGGAAUUUGAAUUCCUGAAGUCUCCUCCUUACACUUGCCCUCAGACCCCUGCGGCAUACAAGCCUCUUCGCACAGAGCGAGAAACUCCCAACGAAAGCCUGUCUCUGCAACAGAGAUGCGAGGACAAGACAACCCCACCGCUAGAGGCAAAACAGGUUCAUGCUAGAGGAGCAUUUCCACACAUUGUGUAAGGUUUAACAGCCUCUGCAUGACCCUUUUAUUUGUUUCGAAGCUCUGUAUCUUAAGCUUCUUGAUUCCAAUUAUGCAUCUUCAUUUAACACUGAGACUGUGGGUUUGUCCGAUUACUCUCAUUCUGUUCUCAAGGCAUCUCUUCAGGCUUUUGAUUACAUAUACCUGAAAUUGCUAAAUGGAACAUACUGCAGUGUUUUCAUUUUGUUUUUAAAAGCCCGUUAAUUUCGUCUAUCAGUGCUGUCAGACUACAAAAUAUUAAAUUAUAAAAAAGGCCAAUAUACACAAUCCAAUAUCCAGCAGGAUAUUUGGUGUUGCACCACAGGUUGAAGGAAAUGUUAAAGGUCAAGGAAAUAGAAAAACAAAUCCAAAAAGCUUCAAAAACAAGCCAGUUUUAGUUUGGAUUUUCCUUUUUAAAAGAUAUAAUGCUCUAAUAAAUGUAAUUUAAGGAAGGUCAUACACAUGACCAGCAUCUGCA
This is a non-coding RNA of Phalacrocorax carbo (great cormorant), 1492 nucleotides long. The record is from RefSeq and is a predicted model, not a curated record. Lineage: Eukaryota; Metazoa; Chordata; Aves; Suliformes; Phalacrocoracidae.